UACGUAGGGCGCAAGCGUUGUCCGGAAUUAUUGGGCGUAAAGAGCUCGUAGGCGGCUUGUCACGUCGAUUGUGAAAGCCCGAGGCUUAACCUCGGGUCUGCAGUCGAUACGGGCUAGCUAGAGUGUGGUAGGGGAGAUCGGAAUUCCUGGUGUAGCGGUGAAAUGCGUAGAUAUCAGGAGGAAUACCGGUGGCGAAAGCGACUCUCUGGACGGUAACUGACGCUGAGGCACGAAAGCGUGGGGAGCAAACAGG
RNAcentral lists this ribosomal RNA (253 nucleotides) under uncultured prokaryote. Its description in RNAcentral is "partial 16S ribosomal RNA". It matches the Rfam family "Bacterial small subunit ribosomal RNA", at positions 524 to 776 of the family's 1533-position model. The record is from RNAcentral.